GGGAUGACGUCAAGUCCUCAUGGCCCUUAUGUCUAGGGCUACACACGUGCUACAAUGGGUGGUACAAAGAGCAGCUAACUCGCGAGAGUAUGCAAAUCUCAAAAAGCCAUCCUCAGUUCGGAUUGGAGUCUGCAACUCGACUCCAUGAAGUUGGAAUCGCUAGUAAUCGCGGAUCAGCAUGCCGCGGUGAAUACGUUCCCGGGCCUU
RNAcentral lists this ribosomal RNA (207 nucleotides) under uncultured Smithella sp. Its description in RNAcentral is "partial 16S ribosomal RNA". It matches the Rfam family "Bacterial small subunit ribosomal RNA", at positions 1176 to 1382 of the family's 1533-position model. Lineage: Bacteria; Pseudomonadati; Thermodesulfobacteriota; Syntrophia; Syntrophales; Smithellaceae. The record is from RNAcentral.